AAGACAAAGAAAAGGGAGUAAGAACCAACUAUGACGACCGCAGUGUGGAAUUACAUAGAGAAAUAACAUUAAAGUGCGACACCCUAUAACAACACUAUAAUCAAACAAUGUCAAACAUAUACAAAUGGUGCAUGAAGUUAGUGUCUUAUACAAGAGAAUAUUCACAUCCACAAUUAAUAUAUCUUUCAUGCAAUGCAAUAUGCAAUUCACCAACCAACCACCA
This 223-nucleotide long non-coding RNA is filed under the name Lupinus angustifolius (narrow-leaved blue lupine). Its description in RNAcentral is "long non-coding RNA (LANG_LNC002829)". Lineage: Eukaryota; Viridiplantae; Streptophyta; Magnoliopsida; Fabales; Fabaceae. The record is from RNAcentral.